Molecule: ribosomal RNA, 510 nt
Filed under: uncultured bacterium
Lineage: Bacteria
Description: partial 16S ribosomal RNA
Rfam family: Bacterial small subunit ribosomal RNA
Source: RNAcentral
UGGGAAUAUUGACAAUGGCGCAAGCCUGAUCCAGCAAUGCCGCGUGAGUGAUGAAGGCCUUAGGGUUGUAAAGCUCUUUCGCACGCGACGAUGAUGACGGUAGCGUGAGAAGAAGCCCCGGCUAACUUCGUGCCAGCAGCCGCGGUAAUACGAAGGGGGCUAGCGUUGUUCGGAAUUACUGGGCGUAAAGGGCGCGUAGGCGGCCUGUUUAGUCAGAAGUGAAAGCCCCGGGCUCAACCUGGGAAUAGCUUUUGAUACUGGCAGGCUUGAGUUCCGGAGAGGAUGGUGGAAUUCCCAGUGUAGAGGUGAAAUUCGUAGAUAUUGGGAAGAACACCGGUGGCGAAGGCGGCCAUCUGGACGGACACUGACGCUGAGGCGCGAAAGCGUGGGGAGCAAACAGGAUUAGAUACCCUGGUAGUCCACGCCGUAAAACGAUGAAUGCUAGACGUCGGGGUGCAUGCACUUCGGUGUCGCCGCUAACGCAUUAAGCAUUCCGCCUGGGGAGUACGG